Sphaeramia orbicularis (orbiculate cardinalfish) is the source of this 165-nucleotide long non-coding RNA. RefSeq lists it as uncharacterized. The record is from RefSeq and is a predicted model, not a curated record. NCBI's taxonomy places the organism in Eukaryota, Metazoa, Chordata, Actinopteri, Kurtiformes, Apogonidae. The transcript has 3 exons.
AAAGGUAAACUUGCGGCUCAUUUCCUUUUCUCUUUCCUGAAUGUGUGUGAACUUUCAUCAGUGUUCAGGACGUUUGUCUGUUUUAUUCUAUAUCAGACUGAUGCAGAAUCAGUCUGGGGAGGAUUUUUUUGUAUGACAUUUCUGCUGUGGGGCUGGACUCAUGGG